Taeniopygia guttata (zebra finch) is the source of this 5080-nucleotide non-coding RNA. The record is from RefSeq and is a predicted model, not a curated record. Lineage: Eukaryota; Metazoa; Chordata; Aves; Passeriformes; Estrildidae.
CGCUCCCGCCGCGGCGUGUGCUCCGCUCGGUGCUUCAUCCGCCGCCCGGUGCUUCACCCGCACCGCGUGUGCUCCGCUCGGUGCUUCACCCGCACCGGGCACGGCGGGGAGGAUAGCAACCGCACCGGGAAGAGCGGGUCACCUGCACCGGGCGCAGCGCCGCGCCCGCACCCUCUCUGAGGGGAGCUUCACCCCGCUCAUAUCGCACCUCACCCACGUCAGGGAGAGCGGAUCGCCCGCGCAGCGAGGAGCUCGUAAAACGCACCGGGUGUUCUCCCCUCAGAGCCUCACCCGGGGAGCGGCUCACCCGCCCCGGUGUUCUCCCCUCAGAGCCUCACCCGGGGAUCGGAUCACCCGCCCCGGUGUUCUCCCCUCAGAGCCUUUUCCUCGCCCGAGGAGCGGCUCACCCGCCCGGGUGUUCUCCCCUCAGCGCCUCGCCUCAUCCCUCAGGGGUUGCUCCCCUCAGCCCCUAGGAACGGUCCCCUCAGGGCUUCACCUCUCCCCAGGCAUUGCCCCGGGUUGCUCCCCUCAGCCCCUAGGAACGGUCCCCUCAGGGCUUCACCUCUCCCCAGGCAUUGCCCCGGGUUGCUCCCCUCAGCCCCUAGGAACGGUCCCCUCAGGGCUUCACCUCACUCCCCUGGCAUUGCCCCGGGGUCUCGCCCUCAUGCAAUGGCUGCUCCCUCAGCCCUUCACCUCCCUCCAGCUCGGGCCGAGAGCUGCUCCCUCAGCGCUGUUCUCCUCAGUUUCCCUGUCAACCCUCUUGGCUUGGCUUACUGGGCCGCUCUGAAACUCCCCAUUUCCCUCCAGGGCUGGUUCCUCACGUUCUCCCUCGUUGUUGUUUCUCCUCUCCCACAGCCCUGCUCACCCCUAUUUCAUCUGUCCCCUCACAGAAUGAUUUCCCUUCCUCCCUUUCCCGUGCCCCACUCUGUCGCCACUUCACAGGCAUCCUGUCACCUCUCAAGGAGCUUUUCCCAAAGAACUCAUAAGCAAGCAGGUAUGUGCCUUCAAAUCUGUAUGUAUGGAUUCCAGAGGCUGUAAAGCAAAAGCGUUGCGACACCUCAGUAUGUGUGGAAAAAACAUCCAGAGGAAAAUUGAUCCUUCUUUCUCAGCCUAAUUUCACCCUCAGUCCCCUCAGACCUCGCCCUGAGCCCGUUCAGAGGCACAAAGUGUCACAGGCAGCUGUACCUGGAUGUUCAGCAAAGGAUGUGCUGCUGAGACAAAUCAUGUUAAUGAGAAAGACGUGGUGAUAAAUGUUAAAUAGUUUUAGUGGAUAAUUGCUGUGGGGAUUCCCAUUGCAGUGUCUGCUUUUCAUGGAACAGUGACUGUGCACAACAGAACAGAGACAGAGCUCUAUGCAUUUAUUUACCUGUUUGAUGAGAUUAAAUUAUUUAACAUAUUAGUGCAUUAUAACAAAUGUGCUGUGCUAUUGCAGGAAAAGCUUAUUCAGAGCUGGAGUAAAAUGAGAUCUACCACCAGUGCUUUAUAGCCUAUUAAAUCUGGUUGGGAAGAAGCAUAUUUUUCCAUGCAAUGGGUGACCACUCAACAUAGGACCCACGCAAAGCCCUUUUGUAGCCCUGAUUCAGCAGUCUGAGCACUCACAUCAUUGUGUAGCUUGUUUUUGAGGCCAGUUCAGUUGACACAGGGUUCAGGUAAGUUCAAACAAGCAGUAAUUUAGAGAUCUGUGGGAUAGCUCUGUGCACUGUUUGGUGCUGUUCAGGUGCUGGAGAGUUAGAGGAGUCUCCAGGCUUGGUUUAUUCUAGAAAUAGAUAUUAUUUGCCUCUGUGCAGCAAUAAUUUUUGGACAGGGAGAGUGUGCAGAGCUGCCAUCAAAAGUUUUUAUGAGGGAGAAGCUUCAUGGGCAUCUGUUAUUUUUGGUCAAGCUGUGACAGAGAGAACAACGGCUGCAGACUGACCCUGAUCCUCCCGUGGGAGCCCUGGGAGGAGUCAGAAGAGAGGGAAUGCUGAGAUUGGAAGAUUUUGUGGCAGGUGGGACGUGGCAGCUGAGUUCUGGCAGGGGAGAUAAGCCAGGCUCCUGAAGGUUCCUUAGAGCAAGAAAAAAAACUCCUGGGGUUGGAUUAGUCACAGCAUUUCAUGGGGAGACAGCCACGGGUGUUAUUGUUGUGUUCCCAGAGUGGGAGUUUGACAUUUUUUUCAUUCAUCCACACGUGAGAGGAAUAGAGGGAGAGAAACACAAAGUGUGUGUGCAUUUCAGUGGGAGUAACACUCCACCAAAAAAGCAUUCCAUCUUUAGAUCUUGUGGUACUAUCAUGGUGCUAGUUGAGUAUCUUCCACAAAAUCAACACAAACAGCACAGCUGGGAGUCAAAUGGGAUGUUCCCUUCACAAGCAAGGUGAAGGAGAUUAGCAGAAGGGGUUUGCAGUGUUUUCCAGAGGUUUGGAUGUACCUGUUCUCCAAAGGUACACAGGCUGGGUAACCCAGGCUGAAAAUACUUUGUCUGCAGCUCUUUCCAAGGCCUCCUGGGCUGCUUUAUCCCACAGGAAUGUGGCUGCCACAGCAGCAUCCAGAUGGAGAAUCUGUGUUUGAUAUGGCUGUGGAUUCAAUCCUCUGCCUUGGGAUUGUUUGCAGAUGUUUUGGAAGUCUUCCUUUUAGCCAAAUCUGUGUGUAGUCUUCCCACGCUGAACAGAAGGGAUAUUCACCAUUUUAUAAUUAUUGAUUUGCUUAUUUGGAGUUCUUCUAAUUUCUAUUGACUUGACAAUUCAAAGUUAAAAUGCAGUUAUUGAAUGAAAGCAAUGGAAUAAAACUGAGAAACGUACCCUGUCCUGCCUCACUGCAGGUAAAUAAAAUAAUUGCUGCUAAAUGUAAUUUCCUAAAUUAUUUGAAGUGCCUGCCAUUCAGGAAUUAAGAGUGUGUUGUACAAUCUAUAAACUUACAUGGAAUGCUGAUGUAGCUUCCUACAUGGAAUUUUCAGCACUAGGGCUGUACUGGAUGCAGCAAACUCCAUGCAGUUUGCCUGGCAUCUGCUGCAGAAGAUGUUGUGUAAUGGAAUGAAAAAAAUAUAAUAUUUGUGUUCUGCCUGUCACCAGAAAAUGUCAGCCACUGCAGCUUCAAUGUGCAGUCAGAGGGGUACAGAAGCAACUACAAAGAAAUCUUGGACUACUUUAUGGGAAGACUUGAAAAAUAGACCAGAAUAACUUAGUGACACAGAUCAUCAAGCUGAAGGAAUAAAACCCUCAACUUGUAAAUAGGCUCCUACAGAAAACCACUCUUUAGCUUCCAUUAUUUUGCUUUUUUUUCCCAUUGUUUUGGAGCAGAGUGUUUUGAGCUGCUGUGGUUGCCUGUGCCUCUGGUGGCAGGAUUUUGGGAUCAGCUCCUUCCUGUGAAGGUCUCCUGUGUCCUUGUGCUUCUCUGGACAUCACAGAUACUGAGAUUUAGCAGAAGAUGCUCAUGGGCUGUGGGCAAAAAUUCACUCCUGCGAGCUGCAAGUGGAAAUUCCCUAUUCCUGCUUGGAAUUUGCCUAUUAUGUAAUGGGAUUUAAAGCAGCAUUGUCUCACCCUUCAGUUUAAUUUUACAUUAACAGCUAUUAUGUGUGGGGAGAACUCUUUUCAUCCCAAGGCUUUGCUGUGUAUCUUUCUGUUCAUUUAGAAAUGACACUUUCAGUUACAAUGACCAUUGUGACACUAAGAAAUGUGUGAAAAAGAAAAACAAGUUGCUAUUUUUAUGUGGUCUGCACUAACCAGAUUUGCAGACCCUGAAUACUGGCUCCUCUGCCUGGUACUUGUUAUUUAAAGAACCCAAAUGCCAUCAUUAAUAAGGCCACUACCCAAGGAAUACUGGCAUUUCUUGGCAAAUUAUCUAGGAUUAAAAAAUACAGUUUCUCCAAGUAAAACUUAGAAAGGCUUGAAGUGGAAAAAAAAAAUCAAUGAUUGAAAGAGGAGGAGGAAGAAACUAGACAGUGAAAUAAAAUAAUUCCAAACCUCAGAAAUGUAUUUUAAUUGCAAAUGGAAAUAUUCACAUUUUUCUCAUUUAGAAGAGCAAUAAUUGCUGAAGAUUGCAAGGUGGGUUUGAGGGAGGAAGAACAAAUAGAUAUUUUUGUUAAAAUGAAUAAGGGCUAUAGGAAACAAGAGUAUGAAUCACUACCUUGCAAAAUUGGACAGGAAACAAAUGUAAAUUGUGGAAUCACAGAAUCUGGGAAUCCUGGAAUGGUUUGGGUUAGAAGGGAGCUCAAAGUCCAUGGGCAGGGACACCUUCCACCAUCCCAGGUGGCUCCAAGCCCCGUCCAACCUGGCCUUGGACACUUCCAGGGAUGGGGCAGCCACAGCUGCUCUGUUCAGUCUCUUCCACUGUUGAAUUGUCUUUACCUUUAAGGAGUUUCCUAAUUCAUUACUAUUGCAAUUUAACCCUUUCCAUUUUCUUUUCCAGCUGUUGCAGACACAGAGAAGAGUUUAUUUCCUCCCUCUCCUGCCGUCUUCACCCAUGAGGGCUGUGACCAGAGUUCCUCCCCACCAUCCCUGAACUAAAUAAUCCCUGAUCUUUUCUUUGGGAUUUCCUGCUCCCUUGGGGUGCUGGCAUCUAACAGUGCUCUCCCAAAUUUCAGGUCUCAUUUUCUUACUCAAGUAGCCUUUUCUGGAAGUACCUAAGUGCUGCAGAUCAGUGAGAAAGAGUGGCUGGGAGCUGAGCAGAUCCCUGUGUGGUUGUCCUGAAUUUUUGAAUCUCAAAUGUCUCAGAAGACUCAUUAUUACUAUCCCAAAAUAGCCAGAUGGCACAAACCAGGAAAGGCCAAAUAAUUCAUCAUUCCACAUUUAGGCUGGACUGGCCUCUGGGUGAAGCCAGGGUGGUUGAAAACCUUUUCAUGCUGCUACAGUCAGGAGAGUUUCUCCCUUUGUGAUGUAGAGAUUUUGACCUGUGCUGGGUGUCACAAGGCCAAAGUGCUCAGCAGAUGUAAAAUAUGUGAAGCUGGUUAUGAUCAUCAUUAAAACCAAUCAGCAGGCAAAGCACCAGGACCUGUUAAUUGGGCAGCUGAAGAAACACCCAAUGGCUCCAGAGUUUCUAAAUCUUUGAGCUCUACUGCCCUGUACAAAUAAAACAGCCUAAAUUCUGCAAAAAAUGACAUUAAAACUGAU